UCCACGCUGUAAACGAUGAGUGCUAGGUGUCGGCCUGUAGAGGGUCGGUGCCGAAGUUAACACAUUAAGCACUCCACCUGGGGAGUACGAUCGCAAGAUUGAAACUCAAAGGAAUUGACGGGGGCCCGCACAAGCGGUGGAGCAUGUGGUUUAAUUCGAAGCAACGCGAAGAACCUUACCAGGUCUUGACAUCCCAUUGACAGGGACUUAACCGUCCUUUACCUUCGGGACAAUGGAGACAGGUGGUGCAUGGUUGUCGUCAGCUCGUGUCGUGAGAUGUUGGGUUAAGUCCCGCAACGAGCGCAACCCUUAUCUUUAGUAGCCAGCACGUAAUGGUGGGGACUCUAGAGAGACUGCCGGGGACAACUCGGAGGAAGGUGGGGAUGACGUCAAAUCAUCAUGCCCCUUAUGAUCUGGGCCACACACGUGCUACAAUGGCGGUUACAAAGGGAAGCGAAGGAGUGAUCUGGAGCAAACCCCAAAAAAACCGUCCCAGUUCGGAUUGUAGUCUGCAACUCGACUACAUGAAGUUGGAAUCGCUAGUAAUCGCGGAUCAGAAUGUCGCGGUGAAUACGUUCCCGGGCCUUGUACACACCGCCCGUCACACCAUGGAAGUCGGAAGCGCCCGAAGCCGGUGACCAAACCGUAAGGAUGGAGCCGUCGAAGGUGAAAUCGAUGACUAGGGUGAAGUCGUAACAAGGUAGCCGUA
RNAcentral lists this ribosomal RNA (709 nucleotides) under uncultured Bacillota bacterium. RNAcentral describes it as "bacterial SSU rRNA". It matches the Rfam family "Bacterial small subunit ribosomal RNA", at positions 794 to 1504 of the family's 1533-position model. The record is from RNAcentral. Lineage: Bacteria; Bacillati; Bacillota.